Molecule: ribosomal RNA, 440 nt
Filed under: uncultured bacterium
Lineage: Bacteria
Description: partial 16S ribosomal RNA
Rfam family: Bacterial small subunit ribosomal RNA
Source: RNAcentral
CCUACGGGUGGCAGCAGUAGGGAAUAUUGCUCAAUGGGGGAAACCCUGAAGCAGCAACGCCGCGUGGAGGAUGAAGGUUUUCGGAUUGUAAACUCCUUUUGUUAGAGAAGAUAAUGACGGUAUCUAACGAAUAAGCACCGGCUAACUCCGUGCCAGAAGCCGCGGUCAUACGGAGGGUGCAAGCGUUACUCGGAAUCACUGGGCGUAAAGAGAGCGUAGGCGGGAUAGCAAGUCAGAUGUGAAAUCCUAUGGCUUAACCAUAGAACUGCAUUUGAAACUGUUAUUCUAGAGUAUGGGAGAGGUAGGUGGAAUUCUUGGUGUAGGGGUAAAAUCCGUAGAGAUCAAGAGGAAUACUCAUUGCGAAGGCGACCUGCUAGAACAUAACUGACGCUGAUGCGCGAAAGCGUGGGGAGCAAACAGGAUUAGAUACCCCAGUAGUC